UACGGAGGGUGCAAGCGUUGUCCGGAAUCACUGGGCGUAAAGGGCGCGUAGGCGGCCCGGUAAGUAGGGGGUGAAAUCCUGCGGCUUAACCGCAGGGCUGCCUUCUAAACUGUCGGGCUCGAGCACGGUAGAGGCAGAUGGAAUUCCCGGUGUAGCGGUGGAAUGCGUAGAGAUCGGGAAGAACAUCAGUGGCGAAGGCGGUCUGCUGGGCCGUUGCUGACGCUGAGGCGCGAAAGCGUGGGGAGCAAACAGG
This 253-nucleotide ribosomal RNA is filed under the name uncultured bacterium. RNAcentral's name for it is "partial 16S ribosomal RNA". It matches the Rfam family "Bacterial small subunit ribosomal RNA", at positions 524 to 776 of the family's 1533-position model. The record is from RNAcentral.